This 1475-nucleotide long non-coding RNA is filed under the name Ursus maritimus (polar bear). RNAcentral describes it as "lncRNA (ENSUMAG00000004132.1)". The record is from RNAcentral. Lineage: Eukaryota; Metazoa; Chordata; Mammalia; Carnivora; Ursidae.
GAUGUUGCAUUUUUAACAGAUUCCCAGGUGGUGUUGCUGCUGCUGGCCCAAGGACUCCACUACUCUAGAUCUCAGGUGGUGAUAAGGUGGACUUCUCUGUUCUUUUCCCUUUUGAGCGUCAGUGGACACACUGAGAAAAACUCAUUGGGUGGGGGUGCUAUCCCUGAAUGCUAUCUGCUGAAUGUUCACACAGGAAAGUACAAUUUGCCUUUUUGGUCUCUUAUUCCCACCUCGUCCACUUUUUCUGCAAACAGUUUUCUCGGGGUUGUUGCAGAAACCUGCUUUGCAUAUAAAGAUCUGUUUGUAUCCACCCUUUGUUACCCAUCCGUCACCACAGGCUUGAGACUCGUUGGAGGAGAUCACCUCUCCCAGGAGGCAGGGAGCUGGAUGAGGUCCAGGGCGUGGACCCAGCUUGAGCUCUGGGUGACAGCUUGGUGUGGCAAGAAGAAAGGACCUGACGAUGCACACAUCACUGAAAGAGGGUGCAGGGAAAGGACCCAACUGCUUGAAGUGACUGCUGAAACUCGGAGCUCCCCAGGGAAGUAAUCUGCGGCUACUUCAGGCCGUUCUUGCCUGUUCCUCACCACCCGCCACCAGCGUCCCUUGGCUACGGAGUCUCUGCAAGAUGAAGGGAGAAGCGCCUGGAAUCCCACCCUUGACAAAGUCCCUGAAGCGGCUUGGAAGGGAACCCCAAAGGGCUGGUUGUGGCGAUCCUUUGAGGCCGUUCUGCCGAAGUGAGACAGCCCUAUUGGAGCAAACGGCGGGUGCGGCGGGAGCGUGGUGGGGCCCUUGUGGGGCUCUAUCGUGUCCCCUAUCCUGGCUCCCCUGGCCUCAGCUGUCAGGUUGGGGUCGGGGGUGCAUUUAGUCAGGUGUCUACCACCUCCUGCCCUUUGGCCUACGCUGGGCCAUCCCCAUCCACAUGCAGGAUAUGGGCGGCCGCAGGACUCUCAAGCGGGGAGUGUGGAGAGUCACCGGGAAGCUCGUCACAAGGCAGGUCCCCGGGCCACACCCUCGCCGACUGGAAUCCAGUGGGUGGUGGCCCAGAAACUGUGUUUUGAACCCCGCAGCACUAGGACACAGAGGGCUGCCCUUCCCGCGUGGGGAGCUGGGACGCGCCCCCACAUCCUCCUAGCGAGGCCCAUUUUUAACCUGGCCCAGCCUGUUGUAAGAGGUGCUCGCCAUGACUCUGACUGCCGUGUGGUUUCUUCCCAGACGUUUGCGACUGAACUGAGCCACUGCCUGGCCCACUGAGACAAGACAAACUGCUUCUUGAGCCUCCCCGCACAGGGGCUUCCGGCCUAGCGAGGAGAGAACUCACAUUGUGUUUCAGGCCCUUUGUGGAAAUACCUGCUCUAUUCCUCCCUGCAACGUUGAAAGAUAGCAUCACCAUUUCUCAGACGAGGAGACCGAGGCACAGUGUUGCAAUACACCCUCCACACAGGCACCCGAGAGUCAUCUUUAAAACCCCAGUUGGA